CCUACGGGAGGCUGCAGUGAGGAAUAUUGGUCAAUGGACGAGAGUCUGAACCAGCCAAGCCGCGUGAAGGAUGACUGCCCUGUGGGUUGUAAACUUCUUUUAUAUGGGAAUAAAACGUUCGACGUGUGGGCGUUUGUAUGUACCAUAUGAAUAAGGAUCGGCUAACUCCGUGCCAUCAGCCGCGGUAAUACGGAGGAUGCGAGCGUUAUCCGGAUUUAUUGGGGUUAAAGGGAGCGUAGGUGGAUUGUUAAGUCAGUUGUGAAAGUUUGCGGCUCAACCGGAAAAUUGCAGUUGAAACUGGCAGUCUUGAGUACAGUAGAGGUGUGCGGAAUGCGUGGUGUAGCGGUGAAAUGCUUAGAUAUCACGAAGAACUCCGAUUGCGAAGGCAGUUCACUGGACUGCAACUGACACUGAGGCUCGAAAGUGUGGGUAUCAAACAGGAUUAGAUACCCUUGUAGUC
Molecule: ribosomal RNA, 460 nt
Filed under: uncultured bacterium
Lineage: Bacteria
Description: partial 16S ribosomal RNA
Rfam family: Bacterial small subunit ribosomal RNA
Source: RNAcentral